CUCACCUAAUGGUUUCGGAAUGCAAGGUAAUAGGGGCUGUGCAACAGAUACGACUUCAGGACUUGAAAAGAGUUACAUGUUUGGCACACCUAACUGUUCAACCUGAGUUGAUCCAGAGAAUUAAGGAAGCCCAAUCCGCCAAUUUCACCCUAGCAGCUCUCAGGAAAGAUGCAUAACAGGAAAUAAAUUUAAAAUACCGAGUCUCUAUCGAUGGGUUGCUCAGAUUUUAGGAUAGGGUGUGUGU
Molecule: long non-coding RNA, 244 nt
Filed under: Carica papaya (papaya)
Lineage: Eukaryota; Viridiplantae; Streptophyta; Magnoliopsida; Brassicales; Caricaceae
Description: long non-coding RNA (CPAP_LNC003271)
Source: RNAcentral